UGGGUAAUAUAGUUACUGUAGUAGAGUUCUGCUUUUGCUAUUUUAUGUGAAAAUAUAAAAUAGAUGGUGAGUUGUGAUAAAGAAAAUAAUGAACUUAUAUGAAAUCAAAUCACUGAAUUCCUGUUUUAGUCAUCUGUUGUUCAACUGGAGCUGAUCCAGAUGUAUUAAUAAUUGAUCAAUAAGGUGUUAUAAUAUUGAUAAACAAGUCCUCACUACUAGAGGUUGAAACUCAUUCCGAUUGAUUCAACUUUAAAAUCAAAAUUGGAAAUUAUAAAAUUGAAGCGGGAAAUAUAAUUAUUGUAUAAUAAUUAUUGGAAAUUUUGUUCAGUAUCAGAUAAUUUUUUAAGAGUUAUCAACCGAAACAUGAUCUGCGAGACUUUUGAUAUGACAUCUACCCAUCUAUGUGUUUAUUAAACUAUAGGUUUACAAAAAGUAAAUUUGCAUAAUUAUAGAGAUUUUGAACCAGGAGCGAUGAUACGUAUUAGGCAUCAAAAAUAUUUGUGGAGCUGGGCAAGGGAAUUUAUGUCAAAAAGCAAAAAAGCUGUACCGGUAACUAGAAAAAAUAUUGAUAAACCAGAAGAUUGCACGAUCACAAAAGAGCCUCACCGUGACGUAUCAUGGCCCUUACAGAAAUUAAGAGCUUUCUUGUUGGAAGAGAUAACGUGUCAAAUUUGAUUUUCAAGGACGGGGUGUCCACUUAUUCACCCAACCUCCCUUCACUUCCACACCCUUCAAAGCUCAGUGACAAUUUUUAUUUUAGCAGAGAUGCAAUGCGUGAGGUUGUACCACCGACGAUAAUCGCCCCACAAGAAGAUGAUUCAGAUUGUGAAAGCACUCCUCGAACACCUGGUGAAGUCUAUGGUGAUACCUGUGUUCCAUGCUCUCAUAGAAAACCUGAAUUGUCUGGUGAUUAUAGGAAACCGUAUGUCAAGAUAAGAUGAGUUAAUGAUAUUAUUCUUCAUUCUACUCUUGUUGGAAGAAAAAUAUUUAGUAAUAAACAAUGAAAAUAGCAUUAAUGAUAUUGCAAGAAGUUAUAACAUUGUACCAAAAUGAUUAAAUAAAUUAAUCAAAGAGGAAGACAAA
Molecule: RNA transcript, 1083 nt
Organism: Nilaparvata lugens (brown planthopper)
Lineage: Eukaryota; Metazoa; Arthropoda; Insecta; Hemiptera; Delphacidae
Exons: 2
Source: RefSeq, a predicted model, not a curated record